CACGUUCCAACCCUUUCGGCGCCUGCCGCCGGCGCAGACGGGCGGAGCUUCGGCCGCCGGUUCUCUGUCUUUCGGCCGCCCCAGGCUGGGUGCGGGAGGGCGUCGCCGCCGUAGUUUUGAGAUCAAGACCCUACGGUGUUUCAUGCCCAGUUGCAUGUUUGCAGUCUUAGAAGCAAAGUAGGUGAGAUCUGACAACACAGAGACUCCAGCCUUGCAGAAGACAUCUUGCUGAACUUCAGUGUGUCAUUCUGAGCUUCUGACAGGAACAGUCAAAGCCUACAGCCUGUGAGUUGAAUUUGAGAGUGAACAGAAGCUCUGCCAUUUGCUGCUGGCGUCUGUCUCUGACCUCAACAAAAGUAUCCAAGUGUUCAUCAUUUCCCAGAUGGCGAAGAAUGGAACAGAAGAGUGGAUGGCUAGAAGUUUUCUUUUGAAGAGAGUGUCAAGAAACAUGCCCUCUUAAAGGCUCAAAAAGCUGCACAUUUUCCAGAACUGUCAACUGACUACAAUUUUGACUGAUAGAGGAUCAUCAGAUGAGAACUACAAAAAUA
Molecule: long non-coding RNA, 548 nt
Organism: Mastomys coucha (southern multimammate mouse)
Lineage: Eukaryota; Metazoa; Chordata; Mammalia; Rodentia; Muridae
Exons: 3
Source: RefSeq, a predicted model, not a curated record